GUAUGUAUGUGUGUGGAUGGUGUUCAGCACCAAGGGCAGAUAUGUGUGUGUAUAGUGUUCAGCACCAAGGGCAGGCAUAUGAUAGU
RNAcentral lists this microRNA precursor (86 nucleotides) under Branchiostoma floridae (Florida lancelet). RNAcentral's name for it is "mir-2060 microRNA precursor family". It matches the Rfam family "mir-2060 microRNA precursor family". Lineage: Eukaryota; Metazoa; Chordata; Leptocardii; Amphioxiformes; Branchiostomatidae. The record is from Rfam by way of RNAcentral.